Hyla sarda is the source of this 252-nucleotide long non-coding RNA. RefSeq lists it as uncharacterized. Lineage: Eukaryota; Metazoa; Chordata; Amphibia; Anura; Hylidae. The record is from RefSeq and is a predicted model, not a curated record. The transcript has 3 exons.
GCACAGGUUUUGAUAAAUCUCCCCCCAUGUGUUGUGUCAGGCAUCAAAAGCCUGAAGACGACCGGGGUCGGUAGACAGGGCGCAGAUAUCAGUGGCACCAGGAGAGCAGUGGAAAAGACGUCUAUUAAAACAUCACUACUUUGCGUAUUCCCUCUACUACAGAAAUGACAUCCUUCAGUUAUCUGAGAGAACAACUGCAUUUAUAUACCUGACUAUCACCAGAAUCAUCCUCUACGCCGUUGUCAUCAACUU